This 730-nucleotide long non-coding RNA is filed under the name Homo sapiens (human). Its description in RNAcentral is "long non-coding RNA NONHSAT010088.2". Lineage: Eukaryota; Metazoa; Chordata; Mammalia; Primates; Hominidae. The record is from RNAcentral.
CGAGCUUAGCGAGCUACGCCGGCCGACCGGCGAGAAGAGCACUGGGGAGCUGACUGCAGACCCCAGGGGCAGACCCUUCCUGCUAGCCGUCCGGGGCGUGGAGCCGGGCCCGAGUCCGGCCAGCGGGCCCCUUCGGGACCCGGUACCCGGGGUCCGCGGAGAAGGGGCGGCUGGGAACAUGACUCCAAGGAGCAGCGACUAGGACAGCGAGGGAUCUGGCCGUCAGGUUGCAGCCUGGCCUGCGCGCGGAACUUAAACACCUAAGGGAAGAGAUGGCGCGCGAUGAUGACGUCAAACGCAAUGGCUCCCGCGGGUUGUGGUCGGAGCGCUGGCGGGGGCGGGAUCGUGACGUUAAGGGCGGUGCCCAGUCAGCGAGGAGCUAGAAUGACUUGUCAGCCACCUUUGAGCAAGAACUUGCCUGGAGUCCAAAUGUAUGGCUAUUGAAGGAUAGUAAGCAGACAGCACUAAAAGUCAUCCAUUCGUUAUGGAUUUAGUCUUAAGACCCUCAUUUGAGAGAUGCCUUCCCUGUACCUGGAGGAAAGAAACAUCUUUAUCUCUGAAGACACAGGGCCACAGAGAAGAGUCUGAACAAACAGGCUUUACCAAUUUCCCCCAGUUGUUACCGUUAGAUCAGACCUUUGUCCAGUCAUAUCCUUCCACAAGUUGUCCACUCAUCAACCCUAAGCAUAAAAAUGCACAAGUUUCCUUGUUUGUUUGGGUCUUCAUUUCC